CUACGGGGCGCUGCAGUGAGGAAUAUUGCACAAUGGGGGGAACCCUGAUGCAGCAACGCCGCGUGGAGGAUGACGCAUUUCGGUGUGUAAACUCCUUUUAUAUGUCAAGAAAAUGACGGUAGCAUAUGAAUAAGCACCGGCUAACUCCGUGCCAGCAGCCGCGGUAAUACGGAGGGUGCAAGCGUUACUCGGAAUCACUGGGCGUAAAGGACGCGUAGGCGGGUUGGAAAGUCAGGUGUGAAAUUCUACAGCUUAACCGUAGAACUGCACUUGAAACUUCUAAUCUAGAGUAUGGGAGGGGGAGAUGGAAUUAGUGGUGUAGGGGUAAAAUCCGUAGAUAUCACUAGGAAUACCUAAAGCGAAGGCGAUCUCCUGGAACAUUACUGACGCUAAGGCGUGAAAGCGUGGGGAGCAAACAGGAUUAGAUACCCCUGUAGUC
RNAcentral lists this ribosomal RNA (439 nucleotides) under uncultured bacterium. RNAcentral describes it as "partial 16S ribosomal RNA". It matches the Rfam family "Bacterial small subunit ribosomal RNA", at positions 339 to 795 of the family's 1533-position model. The record is from RNAcentral.